AUAGGUAGCUCCAGAAUUCCAGUCUGGGAUUCCAUUUUAAGACGCUAUACGUUUAACAAAUAAUUUUGGACAUCUACCACAUGUUAGGUACUGUCACAGACGUAAUAGAAUCAUUUGACUUUUAGAGCUGUAAGUGACAUUAUGUCACCCGGUUUGCCCUCUUCACUUUGUUGUUCAGGGAAAGGAACUCCCUUCAGUGUAAAAUGACUUGGUCAAGGUCACAGAGCUAGUCAUUACCAGAACACGUGCUUAAGGACCUCUCAUCUAAUUCUCUUUCCAUUGACUACCCUUUCACCUUUCUUAGAAACAACAAGAAUUAGUGGGACACGAUAAGAUUAGGAUUUAGCUUUCAGUCUAGAUAACAGUAAUAUUUGAAGAAACAAUUGUAGGAUUUUAACAAUUGGCAUAUACGUUGACUUUAUAUCGUCUUCUGUAAUGUAUAUUUUUAUUUAAUUAGAAUUUCUCCCUUCCUUGGGUUGAAAGAGGGUUCAGGCAAAACUGCAUUAUUCUUUGUGCUUCUCUAUUCUCUUUUCAAAAUUGUGUAAUUGAAACUUCAUGCUGCUCACCGAUGGCAUCAUUCAGAUUUCUCUGUCCAGUUGUGUGCCUUUUUUACAUAACCUUUAAAAUGAACUUGGUCUAAGUCCCAUUCUUUCAAGGUUCCGCUCUAGCACUAGGCUUAUUCCUUGUCUUUUCUCUUUAUUCUAAGUUAAAUAUAAAUGUCUUUGACUGGCCCACCCCACAGAAAAUGCUAAUUUCUCUAUUUCCCUCCAGUUUCCCUUCUGCAUUUAUUUUCUUCCUAAAUUUUUGUUGAAUGUGUAUUGAACUUUUGGACCUAAUGACUAGACAUUGAUCAGGUGAUAGAGAUACAAUGAUCCCUGAUUUCAUCAGUCUCAUUGUGGGAAGCCAAAAAAUGGAAAAUAAAUGACAAAAUAAUUUCGGAAACUAAAUAUGAUGAAAAAAUAUAAAAGGAUAGGGAGUUAGAAGGAGACUUGGGGAGGAACGGGGAGAUAAUUUUAGAUAGAGUAGUCAAGGAUGGCCUCUUUGAGGAGGUGACAUUUUUGCCAAAACCUGAAUGAUGUGAACCCUGCAAUUAUCUAGCAGAAGAAUAAUCUAGAUGGGGGAAAAGCAAGUGUAAACUUCUUUUAUUUUCUUUUUUUUAGCAUUUAUCACCUUCUGGUGUAUAUUUAUUUGUUUAUUUCUAUAUUACCUCUCAAGCUUUAAAAGAGACUGGGCCUAGAGAAAGAGAUUCAAAGUGUGAGGAGGAAUUUAAUGUGAAAGAGAUUCUCCAUUGCUGGUUUUGAAGAGGAAAGAGGCCACAUAGAAAGGAGUGGGAAUGGCCUCUAGGAGCCAAGAGUGGCCUCCAGCUACAACCAACAAGAAAACAGGGACCUUGGCCUACAGCUGCAAGGAGGCUCCGAGCUCCAGAUCAGAACACAGUCAGCUGAUACCUUAUUUCAACUUGUGAGGUCCUGGGCAGAGAACCCAGCUAUGCCGUGCCACCAGUGCUAACCUGCAGAACUGAGAAGGAAUGGUAUUACAAUGGCAAGGUUCCAAAGCUUCUCAACUUGAAGCCAAGAUUGAUCAUUCAAAGUUCCUCAAGAACACCAAGAUCAACAUGAAGAGAAGAGGGAUGAUGAAGAGGCAGCUGAAGGUGAAAAAAUUGUAAAAGGCUUGAUGCCACCAUUGUGGAAAACUGCAGUGUGUUACACAUUGAGAGAAACCUUCUGUCUGUCCGGAGCUGUCUGCUAAAUGGAUCAUCCGGAAGAUGUAUAACUGUGUGAGAAAAUAAAAAAUUUAAAAUAUUUUACUUUUUUUCAAACA
Non-coding RNA from Equus caballus (horse), 1821 nucleotides. The record is from RefSeq and is a predicted model, not a curated record. Lineage: Eukaryota; Metazoa; Chordata; Mammalia; Perissodactyla; Equidae.